GACGAACGCUGGCGGCGUGCUUAACACAUGCAAGUCGAACGGAAAGGCCCUGCUUUUGUGGUGUGCUCGAGUGGCGAACGGGUGAGUAACACGUGAGUAACCUGCCCUUGACUUUGGGAUAACUUCAGGAAACUGGGGCUAAUACCGGAUAGGAGAUCCUCUUGCGUGGUGGGGGUUGGAAAGUUUCGGCGGUUGGGGAUGGACUCGCGGCUUAUCAGCUUGUUGGUGGGGUAGUGGCUUACCAAGGCUUUGACGGGUAGCCGGCCUGAGAGGGUGACCGGCCACAUUGGGACUGAGAUACGGCCCAGACUCCUACGGGAGGCAGCAGUGGGGAAUAUUGCACAAUGGGCGGAAGCCUGAUGCAGCAACGCCGCGUGCGGGAUGACGGCCUUCGGGUUGUAAACCGCUUUCGCCUGUGACGAAGCGUGAGUGACGGUAAUGGGUAAAGAAGCACCGGCUAACUACGUG
This 468-nucleotide ribosomal RNA is filed under the name uncultured bacterium. Its description in RNAcentral is "partial 16S ribosomal RNA". It matches the Rfam family "Bacterial small subunit ribosomal RNA", at positions 28 to 507 of the family's 1533-position model. The record is from RNAcentral.